AAAACUGGAACAAUACAGAGAAGAUUAGCAUGACCUCCAGGCAAAGAUGAUACACAAAUUCAUGAAGCAUUCCAUAUUUUU
This 81-nucleotide small nuclear RNA is filed under the name Sus scrofa (pig). The record is from RNAcentral. Lineage: Eukaryota; Metazoa; Chordata; Mammalia; Artiodactyla; Suidae.